UGCAGAGGUCUCAAGCGUUGUUCGGAUUCACUGGGCGUAAAGGGUGCGUAGGCGGUUUGAUAAGUCUGAUGUGAAAUCCCGCAGCUUAACUGCGGAACUGCAUUGGAAACUGUUUGACUAGAGGAAUGGAGGGGAGACUGGAAUACUUGGUGUAGCAGUGAAAUGCGUAGAUAGCAAGUGGAACACCAGGGGCGAAGGCGAGUCUCUGGACAUUUCCUGACGCUGAGGCACGAAAGCCAGGGGAGCAAACGGG
RNAcentral lists this ribosomal RNA (253 nucleotides) under uncultured bacterium. RNAcentral describes it as "partial 16S ribosomal RNA". It matches the Rfam family "Bacterial small subunit ribosomal RNA", at positions 524 to 776 of the family's 1533-position model. The record is from RNAcentral.